AUGACGCAGCGCUUGUAACUGGAGCCUAAAGACUUGGUGGGGUGUGUGCGCGCGAGGCGCGGGGUGAGCUGUUCCCUGAACGCGAGGCUGCCUGGGGCCGGUGCAACCUGCAGACCUGCAGACCUCGGCCGCUGCUUGCACUUCUGACCUCCCCUCCGCCCUGGAUGAGAACAUUCGGCUGUUUCCAUGUGAGGAGCAGACACGGAGUGACCCUGAGAAUGGCUGGGGAACGCCGCAGGCCAUGGGGGCGCAGGGCCCAGUGCACUGUCAUCAAUCAGGAGUGACGGCUCCCUCCCCGCCCCAGCCGGGCCACCUGAUUUAACCUUGUGCACAGAUGUCAGGUUAGCAUUCUAGGAAAGCUGCGGGACGAGGGCCGUGGGUGUCGGGAAUCGUUUUAUUAAGAAAGAAACCACGAAUCUGGCAUUCUUCCUCUGAAGGGGAAGCAGAAAGCAAUGCCUGCAUCACCUGGGCAGAUGCACUUGGCUUCAUUUGCCCCUCAAGUACUUUUUUAAAAAGGAUUUUAUUUAUCGGGGCGCCUGGGGGGCUCAGGCAGUGAGGCCUCGGCCUUAAGGCUCAGAUCAUGAUCCCGGGGUCCUGGGAUCGAGUCCAGCGUCGGGCUCUCCACCCAGCAUGGAGCCCGCUUCUCCCCUGCCUCUGCCUGCCCGAGCCGAGGGAGCAGCAGAGGGAGACAGAGGGAGAAGCCAGCUCCCCAGUGAGCAGGUGAUGCUGGACUCAAUCCCGGGACUCCGGGAUCAGGACCUGAGCCGAAGGCCUGAUGCCUCACCGACUGAGGCCCCCAGGCGCCCCCCAUAAGUCCUCUUUGCUCGCUUUUCUGCAGAUGCUAGGCACGCUGCUGGACCCUGAGGACACACAGAGACAAAUCAGACACACUAUCCGCCCUCCAGAAGCUCAGCAGAGGGCAGGAGGAGCAGCAAAGACCUGGACACAGAUCCCUAAAUGACUGAUGUCAAGGCCAUGGUGAAGAAUGGGCUUAUCAGAGAGCAAAACGGGGACAAUACCCGAAACUGUGAGAUCUACACGGAGGAGAAACCACCAGCCACCGUGAAGGAAAGGGUCCCAGCCUGGACCAGCACGAAGGUGCCCGCCAGCUACCCCUCUCUCUCUCUGGUUUCUGCUGGGCCUCCUGAUGGCCAGCCCCACGCAACCCUGAGGGAAGAGAGCCCUCCUGGAGUAGUCCUCACGGGCAGCAGCCAGGGCCAGACAGCAGGUGCAGAAGGGCAGAGAGUGAAUUUGAGGAUCAAGUGGAAGAUCCCAGGCCUAAGAGUACACCUGCCCUACAGAAUCUUGGCAACGAUGGACGGAGAUGAUAUACGGGACACACUAGAAAUAGUGUCUAGUGCUCAAAAAUUAUUACCUGUUGUUAUUUUAACACAUGCAUUUAUUUAUCCAAUAAAUGUUCAUUGGGAACUUCGUGGCUCUAGCCACCGUGUGAACAUGAACGGUGCUCCAGGGAGGCUCGCCACCCAGCUGCGCUCCUAA
Molecule: long non-coding RNA, 1500 nt
Filed under: Canis lupus familiaris (dog)
Lineage: Eukaryota; Metazoa; Chordata; Mammalia; Carnivora; Canidae
Description: lncRNA (ENSCAFG00030022355.1)
Source: RNAcentral